CCUACGGGAGGCUGCAGUGGGGAAUAUUGCACAAUGGGGGAAACCCUGAUGCAGCGACGCCGCGUGAGUGAAGAAGUACUUCGUUAUGUAAAGCUCUAUCAGCAGGGAAGAAAAUGACGGUACCUGAGUAAGAAGCCCCGGCUAACUACGUACCAGCAGCCGCGGUAAUACGUAGGGGGCAAGCGUUAUCCGGAUUUACUGGGGGUAAAGGGAGCGUAGACGGGAGUGCAAGGCUGGAGUGAAAGGCGGGGGCUCAACCCCCGGAGUGCUCUGGAAACUGUACGGCUGGAGUGCAGGAGAGGUAAGUGGAAUUCCUAGUGUAGCGGUGAAAUGCGUAGAUAUUAGGAGGAACACCAGUGGCGAAGGCAGCUUACUGGACUGUAACUGACGUUGAGGCACGAAAGCGUGGGGAGCGAACAGGAUUAGAUACCCCGGUAGUC
This 440-nucleotide ribosomal RNA is filed under the name uncultured bacterium. RNAcentral describes it as "partial 16S ribosomal RNA". It matches the Rfam family "Bacterial small subunit ribosomal RNA", at positions 338 to 795 of the family's 1533-position model. The record is from RNAcentral.